This 1058-nucleotide ribosomal RNA is filed under the name uncultured Cryobacterium sp. RNAcentral describes it as "bacterial SSU rRNA". It matches the Rfam family "Bacterial small subunit ribosomal RNA", at positions 337 to 1393 of the family's 1533-position model. Lineage: Bacteria; Bacillati; Actinomycetota; Actinomycetes; Micrococcales; Microbacteriaceae. The record is from RNAcentral.
UCCUACGGGAGGCAGCAGUGGGGAAUAUUGCACAAUGGGCGCAAGCCUGAUGCAGCAACGCCGCGUGAGGGACGAAGGCCUUCGGGUUGUAAACCUCUUUUAGUAGGGAAGAAGCGACUGGGUUUUCCUGGGAGUGACGGUACCUGCAGAAAAAGCACCGGCUAACUACGUGCCAGCAGCCGCGGUAAUACGUAGGGUGCAAGCGUUGUCCGGAAUUAUUGGGCGUAAAGAGCUCGUAGGCGGUUUGUCGCGUCUGCUGUGAAAACCCGAGGCUCAACCUCGGGCCUGCAGUGGGUACGGGCAGACUAGAGUGCGGUAGGGGAGAUUGGAAUUCCUGGUGUAGCGGUGGAAUGCGCAGAUAUCAGGAGGAACACCAAUGGCGAAGGCAGAUCUCUGGGCCGUAACUGACGCUGAGGAGCGAAAGCAUGGGGAGCGAACAGGAUUAGAUACCCUGGUAGUCCAUGCCGUAAACGUUGGGAACUAGAUGUGGGGACCAUUCCACGGUCUCCGUGUCGCAGCUAACGCAUUAAGUUCCCCGCCUGGGGAGUACGGCCGCAAGGCUAAAACUCAAAGGAAUUGACGGGGGCCCGCACAAGCGGCGGAGCAUGCGGAUUAAUUCGAUGCAACGCGAAGAACCUUACCAAGGCUUGACAUAUACCGGAAACGGCUGGAAACAGUCGCCCCGCAAGGUCGGUAUACAGGUGGUGCAUGGUUGUCGUCAGCUCGUGUCGUGAGAUGUUGGGUUAAGUCCCGCAACGAGCGCAACCCUCGUCCUAUGUUGCCAGCACGUAAUGGUGGGAACUCAUGGGAUACUGCCGGGGUCAACUCGGAGGAAGGCGGGGAUGACGUCAAAUCAUCAUGCCCCUUAUGUCUUGGGCUUCACGCAUGCUACAAUGGCCGGUACAAAGGGCUGCGAUACCGCAAGGUGGAGCGAAUCCCAAAAAGCCGGUCUCAGUUCGGAUUGAGGUCUGCAACUCGACCUCAUGAAGUCGGAGUCGCUAGUAAUCGCAGAUCAGCAACGCUGCGGUGAAUACGUUCCCGGGCCUUGUACACACCGC